UACGGAGGAUCCAAGCGUUAUCCGGAUUUAUUGGGUUUAAAGGGUGCGUAGGCGGAUUGAUAAGUUAGAGGUGAAAUGUCCGAGCUCAACUCGGGAACUGCCUCUAAUACUGUUGAUCUAGAGAGUAGAUGCGGUAGGCGGAAUGUAUGGUGUAGCGGUGAAAUGCUUAGAGAUCAUACAGAACACCGAUUGCGGAGGCAGCUUACCAAUCUAUAUCUGACGUUGAGGCACGAAAGCGUGGGGAGCAAACAGG
Molecule: ribosomal RNA, 253 nt
Filed under: uncultured bacterium
Lineage: Bacteria
Description: partial 16S ribosomal RNA
Rfam family: Bacterial small subunit ribosomal RNA
Source: RNAcentral